RNAcentral lists this ribosomal RNA (292 nucleotides) under uncultured bacterium. RNAcentral's name for it is "partial 16S ribosomal RNA". It matches the Rfam family "Bacterial small subunit ribosomal RNA", at positions 505 to 796 of the family's 1533-position model. The record is from RNAcentral.
GUGCCAGCAGCCGCGGUAAGACAGAGGGUGCAAACGUUGUUCGGAAUUACUGGGCGUAAAGCGCGUGUAGGCGGCCGCGCAAGUCGGGCGUGAAAUCCCACGGCUCAACCGUGGAAGUGCACUCGAAACUGCGCAGCUUGAGUCCUGGAGAGGAAGGUGGAAUGCUUGGUGUAGAGGUGAAAUUCGUAGAUAUCAAGCGGAACACCGGUGGCGAAGGCGACCUUCUGGACAGUGACUGACGCUGAGACGCGAAAGCGUGGGGAGCAAACAGGAUUAGAUACCCUGGUAGUCC